UUUUUCCAGUAAGCAUGCUCCCAUUUCUCAACUUGCCGGAUGAGAUUCAAUUUCUUCCUAUGGAACUUCUCGAGACCGUUGGGAUCAAAAGGAGGAGGCAGUGAACAUGGGCCUGAAAUGUGAGGUUCAUCGACUAAAGAGCCCAUCAAAAACCUCUUAUUAGUCCCAUUCGCAUUUCCAGAAGGGCACACCAUCGCUUCCGUGCAGAUUUCAACACUGUUUUGGGAAACUUGAGGCUUGAACUUAAGAAGCUUUGAGUAUUCAUUCAGCAAAUGGAACAUGUAAUCAUACACGUUUUCCAUUGAUAGAUCUCUUUGCAUGAACUCACUUGCUCCCCUUCCAAUCUCUUGAGCCUGCAUUGCAACCAAUUAUAAAUAAAGAGUAUGCAUACAUAAUUACGAUCCAACUUUUCAAAGUAUUACGCAACAUGUGGUUUUGGUACUUUAUUUAAAUCUAAUCACAGUAUUAACUUAUAGGUGUAGACAACUAUUUUAUAGACUAUAUUCGAGAAUUAAAAUGAAAAACUUUCCUCACAAAACUGAAACUAAUUACUCGAGUAUAUAUAUUACAUUAACAUUUUGUAAACUAGGCGAUCUAUGUUUUUUUUACUAUAACCUAAAUCAUUUUCAAGGUAUAGUUUGGUGUCAUCAUGUAAGAAAGAUUAUCUAGACAAAAAAAGAUUUGACAGUGAUACCUUUUGAGUGUGAUUAUUAAGCCAUUCAACAGCAAAUUUGAUGGAUCUACAUUUAUUCUUAUCAUUAAUGGGCCAAUAGUGUUGGAGAGGUUGAAGAGUUCUUGAGAAGAAAUCAUAGUAAUAAGGUUUAACCAUCAAUGUGACUGAGUCACACGCUAAUAUGUAUUUCUCACUCACUGACCAUCCAUACCCUUCUAUAUAUAUCUUGUACCUGCACAGCUUAUUAUCCCAGUAAUUAAAUUCAACAUAUAUAUAAACCUUAAAUUAGACAUUGGUACUAUAUGAGUCAAAAAGUAUAGACUAGUAGUACUAGUCUAGUACUAACCUGUAAGUGCAUUGAUCUGCUACAUUUGAAUUCUCGAAUCCCUUUUGCCCUUCUGAUAUCCAAUCCUGUGUAAAUACAAAUAAAAAAUUGCUCACAAAUUCAUUUUUAUAUACCUCAUGGAAAGAUUAAUAGAUGAAAUAUGGUUGUACGUACGAACAUAAGCUUAUAGAAGCAUAUAUAUAUAUAUAAAUAUAUAUACGUAUAUAUGUAUACCUGAAUGAAAAUUCUAGCAUUCCAAUCAUGUUGUGAGGAUAAAUUGCAAGUAAGAAGAUCUUCUCUUGAAGGAGAUGCAACAAAAGGAUUCCCUUUCCAAUAUGCAUAAGAUUCUCUCUCCAUAAACUUCUUCUUCUUCUUUCCUUCUUCCAUUUCUUUCAACACUUUGCUCCAUGGUUUUAUGUUUAUCUCUUGCCUUCAUCCACCAAUUUAAUCCAAUUAAAUUUUAUUUUUUUAAUUUGAAAUUUAUUAAAUUUUCAACUAUGCAAAUAAAUCAUCAGUCGCAAACAAAUAUGAUAUUCGAUACAAAAAAAUAUUUCAAAGUUUAAUAUGGAAUUACCAACGAGAUUUUAGAACUAUUCACUUCAUGUUCAACUAGAACUGUCCCAUCUUUUAACUAUUCACAUGAAAUUGAUCAUCGUCAAACUAUAAUCAUAUCGCAAUAGCCUCACAUGCCCUCUUUAGGCAUGGGAUUAUUGUCUGCUCCGGAUUCGCUCCGAAAAUAAAAUAUCCAAAAUGUUUGAAUCCGAAUACAGAUAGUAAAAUCUUAGAUCCGUUAAAACUGAAUCCGCAUCCAGAUAUCUUUAUUUUUAUAUCCGGAUCUGUAUUUUUAAAAUAUAUUAAUUUUUAUAUCUGAUAUUUUAAUAUUUAUACAUAAAUUAGUUUUAUAAUAUUAUAUUUUAAUUUUAAAAAUAUUAUACAUAUAUAUAUAUAUUUAUAAAUCUUAAAUAAAUAUUUGAUUUAAGUAUUAUUUAAAAAUUAGUAAUUUAUAAAAAAACAAAAAAAUUAAUUAUUUUUUUGGAUCCGGAUCCGGAUAUCCACGGGUAAUGUAACAUCUAGACGGAUAUCCGGAUUUCGAAUAUCGAAUAUCCGGAAACCACGAAUCCGGAUCAAGAUAUUAAAAUUAACGAAUCCGACAAAUCUGGAUCCAGUACCCUAAAUUUCUGGGAUAUCCGGAUCCGUCCCAUGCUUAGCGAUCUUAAUCUCCAAGAACAGCUAAAUUCAUGAACUAGAAUUAUAUAGCAAAACAUAAAUCCAAUUUUGUAAAUAUCAUAAUGUACUACAUAUAAAUAAAGGCUAUUAACACUAUCUAUUAGUUAAGCAGGUUUCAAUGUGGACUCGAUUUAGGUUUAGGAAAUUGGUCAACCCAUGCUAAGAAUAAAUGAUAUAUUUCUCAAAAUAUCAUAAAUCUAACGUAAUCCGAUAAAUAAAAGCUAAAAUAAAAUCAUAUCAAACUGUUUGAUAGUAUCAUUUUAUUGAACGUUUUUCCAGUAAGCAUGCUCCCAUUUCUCAACUUGCCGGAUGAGAUUCAAUUUCUUCCUAUGGAACUUCUCGAGACCGUUGGGAUCAAAAGGAGGAGGUAGUGAACAUGGGCCUGAAAUGUGAGGUUCAUCGACUAAAGAGCCCAUCAAAAACCUCUUAUUAGUCCCAUUCGCAUUUCCAGAAGGGCACACCAUCGCUUCCGUGCAGAUUUCAACACUGUUUUGGGAAACUUGAGGCUUGAACUUAAGAAGCUUUGAGUAUUCAUUCAGCAAAU
Molecule: long non-coding RNA, 2769 nt
Filed under: Brassica napus (rape)
Lineage: Eukaryota; Viridiplantae; Streptophyta; Magnoliopsida; Brassicales; Brassicaceae
Description: long non-coding RNA (BNAP_LNC020959)
Source: RNAcentral